RNAcentral lists this ribosomal RNA (373 nucleotides) under uncultured Glomeromycotina. RNAcentral describes it as "LSU rRNA". The record is from RNAcentral. Lineage: Eukaryota; Fungi; Glomeromycota.
UUGAAAGGGAAACGAUUGAAGUCAGUCGUACCUAUGGGUAAUCAGCCUUUUGGGUGUGAUUUUGUGGAGCGUGAGGAGUUAAACGCCUUCAUGCCUGCAUAUUCGUGCACUUUGGGUGUACUUGCCCGUAUGGUUGGUUAACAUCAAUUUUGGUGGUCAUAAAAUGACUGGAGGAAUGUAGCUUCGAUCUCGUAUUGAAGUGUUAUAGCCUUCGGUAGAUGUGAUGAUCGAGAUUGAGGAUUGCAACGGAUACCCUUCGGGGCUACCUGUCUGAUCUCUGAUCGUUGCUCUGGUGCCGAAAGCUUGCUUACGGUCAUAAAAGUCGAUGGUCAAUAGGUUAGAACGGGUUAAAUUCGUUAAGGAUGUUGACGUA